GUACAUGCUACCUAGCAUGUUUGGUCUAUCUCUGAAGGGCAAGAAAUAAUGACAGGAGAAAGUUAAAGGAGUGUUGAUCCCCGAGAAAGACUUAAGAGGGGGUUUUUUUGGUACCAGGGAUCGAAUUCGGGACCUUGCACUUGUGAGGCAGGUGGUGGAACCACUGAACUACAUCCCAGGCCCUACAUUUGGCUUUUAAAUAAAAUAUGAGAGACAACUGUUGAGAAAGACUGAAACAAAUACUUUGGUGCUUGUCUUAAUGACUUUCCAUGUCGCUGGGACACAAUACUCGACACCCACAACUUAAAGGAGCAGACGUUUUUAGCCCAUUGUUGGCCAGUUCCAAUGCAGGAAAGCAUGGAAGAAGGGUCUGGGAGAGGAAAGUUCAUCACCGCAUGGUGGCCAGGAAGCAGAGCAUGAAGGGAGGAGCCCAGAAGGAAGACACACCCUUCCAGGCCAAGGCCCACCUCUUCCAACCAGAUGCCACCUCCUACCACCAAGUCAGCCUUAAGCGCCCAUGGCCUAAUCCUCUUCCAACGUCCUGCCUGUGAGGACCUGAGGUCUUUGGGGGACAUUCUCCACAUAAACCAUGGCAGUGCUUAGAAGCACAAGAUCCAGAAAACACAUGGAGCUCUCCUGGCAUGGUGUGCUAGUCAGUUAGAGUAGGUAGAGUUGAAUAGAGAGGGAGAGAUAAAAUGUGAUUUAUGCAAAAGUAAAGGUCCAAUAGCAGAACGAAAUUACAUUAACAUGGUGAGAAAAAGGUGACUUGUGAAAACUCUAAGGUCACAAUGAUUAAAGAACACCAAAGAAGAGAUUCACCUCAUUUGGGCUACAUUUCUCUUGUAUAAUUGGUAGUAUAAUUGACAAGUAUUUCAUGAUCUCAGGUCUUCAGUAAAGGCUUUGGAGAAGGUUUGGAGAUAAUGAAAAAUGCAAUAUGAGGUUUUUAGUGAGGAAAGGGUUGGGGAGGAAAAGGCAAAAGGAAGAGAGAACACAUCUGCACUGAAUGAAGCUGUGAUAUCACAUUAGAAACAUAGAGAGUGGAAGACACAGAUCCUCAGAAGCAAAUUCUCCACAAAAACUUAAAUCCCUGUAAACUUGACAAGAUUUUGGAGAUUUCUCAUUGAACAUGGUGCACAGGGUCAGUGGUUUUGUUCUGCUUUGGGAUAUCAAGGAGCCUUCUGACAUGUAGGGUUUCCUACUGCAUUUGAGAGAGGAGCCAAGAUAACUUAAAUUGAAUGUGAAACAGUUUGCUCAAUGCCACCAGCAUUUGGAUUAUGCCUAUACAGCAACAUUUAAAAAGUGGGAUAUUUUCAAAACGAAUAAAAUUAUCAUGAUGUUAAGUAUAACUUAACGUGAUAACAUUAACAGUUUUUAACAAAACAAGUCAAAUUAUCACAC
Molecule: long non-coding RNA, 1398 nt
Filed under: Heterocephalus glaber (naked mole-rat)
Lineage: Eukaryota; Metazoa; Chordata; Mammalia; Rodentia; Bathyergidae
Description: lncRNA (ENSHGLG00000036776.1)
Source: RNAcentral